This 1531-nucleotide unclassified non-coding RNA is filed under the name Hevea brasiliensis (rubber tree). Lineage: Eukaryota; Viridiplantae; Streptophyta; Magnoliopsida; Malpighiales; Euphorbiaceae. The record is from RNAcentral.
UGAUUAUCAAUCCACUACAACUGCUAAACUAAAUAAAAUACCUGAGAUAGUAGUUCAAACUUCAAGCCAACAGAAAUUUUCUUUUACAUGUAAUUAACCCAAUUAAAAGUUGGAGUCGAUAACUCUAGAAAUAGUUCAGUACUACUAGCUUAAAAGCUCAUUGGUAAGCUAUUAUUAGAUUUUUAAUAACUUGGUAGUCCAAUGCUUAUUUCUCGUAGCGGUGGAGAUCAAAGGCAGCAAUAGAAUAAGGUCUCUUCAAUAACCAGCGAAGAAGAACAUUUAAAGCAUGGAUUGGAUUCUUGGGCACCUGAUAUUAUAGAAAUCGUCCAUGGAUUCCUCACUAAUCAUUUUCAUGAGCUCAUCUUGAAACCUUUUCAUGACUGGCCGUGGCAACAAUAUAGGUACUACAAUCCCAUACUCGCCGUUGCUAUUUUUGAACCGACUAAAGAAACUUCUAUAGGGCAAUGCCCCGAUAGGCCCUCCAAAAAGUGGCUUUCCCCAUCCAAAAUCAACUUCUACAAGCCCAGCCCAAGUAGUAUCAGCAACAAGAAAGUUCCAAACUGUAGUAUAAUGUGGUCGCCCUUUAAUCACCAUCAAAUCUGCUACUGACCUUAUGUACUCUUCACUCAUUAGGUUCUUGGCUUUCCUUAUCGACUCAAUUGCAUAUUCUAAUGGAUUUUUACACAAUUCUCCAGCCGUUGAAAGCGCCGCAGGGAAGGCAAAAGCAUUGCCAUAGUAUCCAUUUGGCACUUUUAGUUGGUUUUGCUUGCCUCUGAGGUUUAUCACACAUAAGAGACGAACGAUCUCAUCAGGAUCAAGUUCAAGUGCAAUUGUGCGGCAUUUCCACAAACACGCCGUGAGCAGUUCAAAAGUUGAGCAUUUCCUUAGGUGUGGAGGAAGAUGGCUCCUUAAGGAUCUCAUUUCACGGGGACCGAAGAAGAAUGAUAGAUGGGCCAUGUUUGGUAGGUCCAAAGUCAUUACGGAGUUUUUAUUUGUGUCGUUUAUUGGAAUCUCCUCGUACUCGUGAUGUACAUGUGUCACGUGGGGUGGGUCUCGUGCAUUUAAGAUUUCCCUUCGCCAAACAGGGAAUAAGGAUGGUGUUCUUGCUCCUCUUGCGAUUUCUGCAGUUGCCAUCAAGAAUUUUGCUAAUCCUAAACUGUCACUCAUGGUGUGGUUUAAACGUAUUGCCAAAACAAAUCCUCCACAUGCCAAACGAGUCACCUGAAUCAACAACAAAGGACAUCCAAGAAUACCAGCAGAACCAGGAACAUCAUAAGGAAGGUCUUCAAUGCAAGGACAAGGAGGCUGCAUUGAGUCACCGAGCUGUUCAAUUGUAAUAUCAGCAUCAGCUUCAAUGAACAAGAUCCCUUGUCCAUUGCAAUCCACCAUAAGUUUCCUGUUAGGACCUUGAAUAAUCCUACCUGCAAAUGGGUAGUAAAACACUAGUGCUUCACCUAGUGCUUCUCUGAUGAUAUUUGCAGGGUCCUUUCCUUUCAUGGAAGGUUCACUGCGAUAAAACAUUAUAAAUGAA